RNAcentral lists this ribosomal RNA (1445 nucleotides) under uncultured organism. RNAcentral's name for it is "SSU rRNA". It matches the Rfam family "Bacterial small subunit ribosomal RNA". The record is from RNAcentral.
CUUUCUACAGGCUUAACACAUGCAAGUCGAGGGGCAGCAUGGUCUUAGCUUGCUAAGGCCGAUGGCGACCGGCGCACGGGUGAGUAACGCGUAUCCAACCUGCCUUACACUCUUGGACAGCCUUCUGAAAGGGAGAUUAAUACAAGAUGUUAUCAUGAGUAAGCAUUUUCGCAUGAUUAAAGGUUUACCGGUGUAAGAUGGGGAUGCGUUCCAUUAGAUAGUAGGCGGGGUAACGGCCCACCUAGUCUUCGAUGGAUAGGGGUUCUGAGAGGAGGGUCCCCCACAUUGGAACUGAGACACGGUCCAAACUCCUACGGGAGGCAGCAGUGAGGAAUAUUGGUCAAUGGACGAGAGUCUGAACCAGCCAAGUAGCGUGAAGGAUGAAGGUUCUAUGGAUUGUAAACUUCUUUUAUACGGGAAUAAACGAAUCCACGCGUGGAUUUUUGCAUGUACCGUAUGAAUAAGGAUCGGCUAACUCCGUGCCAGCAGCCGCGGUAAUACGGAGGAUCCGAGCGUUAUCCGGAUUUAUUGGGUUUAAAGGGAGCGUAGAUGGGUUGUUAAGUCAGUUGUGAAAGUUUGCGGCUCAACCGUAAAAUUGCAAUUGAUACUGGCAGUCUUGAGUACAGUUGAGGUAGGCGGAAUUCGUGGUGUAGCGGUGAAAUGCUUAGAUAUCACGAAGAACUCCGAUUGCGAAGGCAGCUUACUAACCUGUAACUGACAUUGAUGCUCGAAAGUGUGGGUAUCAAACAGGAUUAGAUACCCUGGUAGUCCACACGGUAAACGAUGAAUACUCGCUGUAGGCGAUAUACAGUCUGCGGCCAAGCGAAAGCAUUAAGUAUUCCACCUGGGGAGUACGCCGGCAACGGUGAAACUCAAAGGAAUUGACGGGGGCCCGCACAAGCGGAGGAACAUGUGGUUUAAUUCGAUGAUACGCGAGGAACCUUACCCGGGCUUAAAUUGCAACCGAAUAUGGCGGAAACGCUAUAGCUAGCAAUAGCGGUUGUGAAGGUGCUGCAUGGUUGUCGUCAGCUCGUGCCGUGAGGUGUCGGCUUAAGUGCCAUAACGAGCGCAACCCUUGCCGAUAGUUACUAACAGGUCAUGCUGAGGACUCCGUCGGGACUGCCAUCGUAAGAUGUGAGGAAGGUGGGGAUGACGUCAAAUCAGCACGGCCCUUACGUCCGGGGCUACACACGUGUUACAAUGGGGGGUACAGAGGGCUGCUACCACGCAAGUGGAUGCCAAUCCCAAAAACCUCUCUCAGUUCGGAUUGAAGUCUGCAACCCGGCUUCAUGAAGCUGGAUUCGCUAGUAAUCGCGCAUCAGCCACGGCGCGGUGAAUACGUUCCCGGGCCUUGUACACACCGCCCGUCAAGCCAUGGGAGCCGGGGGUACCUGAAGUGCGUAACCGCAAGGAGCGCCCUAGGGUAAAACUGGUGACUGGGGCUA